RNAcentral lists this non-coding RNA (29 nucleotides) under Mus musculus (house mouse). The record is from RNAcentral. Lineage: Eukaryota; Metazoa; Chordata; Mammalia; Rodentia; Muridae.
UAGUUUUCACAUGAACUCCACAUCACUCC